CCCUCCAUCCAGCAUUCCUCCAUCCGACACUCACCCAGCACUCAUCUGCCUCUCAUCCAUUCCUCCAGCGUUCACUCAGUCAUUCAUUCCUCCAUCUGACACUCACCCAGCACUCAUCUGCCUCUCAUUCAUUCCUCCAGCGUUCACUCAGUCAUUCAUUCCUCCAUCCGACACCCACCCAGCACUCAUCUGCCUCUCAUUCAUUCCUCCAGCGUUCACUCAGUCAUUCAUUCCUCCAUCCGACACUCACCCAGCACUCAUCUGCCUCUCAUUCAUUCCUCCAGCGUUCACUCAGUCAUUCAUUCCUCCAUCCGACACCCACCCAGCACUCAUCUGCCUCUCAUUCAUUCCUCCAGCGUUCACUCAGUCAUUCAUCCCUCCAUCCAGCAUUCCUCCAUCCGACACUCACCCAGCACUCAUCUGCCUCUCAUCCAUUCCUCCAGCGUUCACUCAGUCAUUCAUUCCUCCAUCCGACACCCACCCAGCACUCAUCUGCCUCUCAUUCAUUCCUCCAGCGUUCACUCAGUCAUUCAUUCCUCCAUCCGACACUCACCCAGCACUCAUCUGCCUCUCAUUCAUUCCUCCAGCGUUCACUCAGUCAUUCAUUCCUCCAUCCGACACCCACCCAGCACUCAUCUGCCUCUCAUUCAUUCCUCCAGCGUUCACUCAGUCAUUCAUUCCUCCAUCCGACACUCACCCAGCACUCAUCUGCCUCUCAUUCAUUCCUCCAGCGUUCACUCAGUCAUUCAUUCCUUCUUCCAACAUGCACCCCCAGGAGGGCAGGAUUGCUCCCCGAAUGCCAAGUGCUGGGGCCGUGGCAGGAACUGUUCCAGGCAUGGGGAUGUUGGUGAACUUCACGGAAGACAGGGAAACGAGACGAUGUCAGAGCGGCCCGGGUUCCGGAAGAGGAUAAAAGGGGCUUGGGCCAUCCCCCGCCCUCCGAGGAGCCUGAUCUCACCCACCACGACUUCCCACCACGUGUCCCCUCGCUGCCCUGCCUCUCCCUCCUGCAGCCACCCAGCUCCCAGGCGCCUCAGGAUCCCCAGGAGCCCCAUCUCCCGACAAAGCCUUCUCCGUGGCUCCGCGGCAAUGGUAUGACAGGACCCCCCACCCGCCACCUGCACAGGAGUCAGAGAGUGACAAUCUGGGCCCCAGGGGGUCACCCAGCACUGCUGUCCUUCACGGCGGUGGGGUGUGAGGAGCAGAUGAGGUACUGACCUAGCUGUGCCUGCACCAGUGACAUGGGCGUCGCCGCCCUUACCCUCUGAGGUUCACUCUGACACGUGGUGUGUCCCAGGAGAGAGGUCAGAAGGACACCAGAGGGGCCAGCAAGAUGGGGUCGGGCCAAGAGCAGCUUCUCGGGGCGGGGAGGGGGGAUGCGGACGUGGAUGGAGGGCCCACUGUGCCGGGCUAAAGGGAGAAAGGUGGUUUCGUGGGGGCCCUGCUAGAGAGAGUGGGUCACAGACGGCGGGAGGUGGGGGUCACUUCACAGAUAGGCAGUGACACCAGCGCCGUCCGCCCACAAGCCUAACUAACGCAGGCUCCGGACCGCAGCCAGAGCGGCCUAAGCAGGGCUUCUCCCCAGCACACGGACAGCUGUCCCCUUACUCUGUCCUGGGCCUGCAGUGUGCUGGCCUCCGCUCUCUACGGGCCAGCAGCACCUGCCCCGCAGUGAUAACCCACAUGUCUCCAGACUUUGCAGAUCAAAAUCAUCCAGGUGAGGAGCCUGGUGCAGACCCAGCUGCGUCCCCAGAUAAUGAUUGUGUCCGCUCUGCCUGCCCCUGAGGGUCUGAGUCCCGGCCAGGCCACUGUCGUGGUUCUGGUGGUUCUUGACCCUGAGACAGUAUCAGGGACGAACACACCAGUGAAUGAACAAAUGAAAGAAUGAACAAAUGAAAGAAAGGAUGAACGAACCAACUAACACACGAACAAACGUCCGAGGGAGGCAGGGAGCGCUUUCCGGGCGGCAAGGCUGUGCCUGUGUGCUGUCCUUCACCACAGAGGCCCGUCCGAGCCCUGGAGCUGAAGUCACUUUGGAAAACCCCUUCAGAAACGUCUAGAAGAAGAGCAGGUGUGCAGUUUGAGGGCAGGAAAUAGCAAACAGGUGCCACAUGAGUGGCCGGCAGGCAGCCACCUGCAGGCCCUGCGACACAGGAUCCCUCUGCAGACGGGGCCGAGGUGGUGGUGGCUGGUCCCCCGUGACCAUGCACCUGCUGGGCCUCCGUGUCCCACGGACUCAGUGACUCUGCUCCUGGCCUCAGGUGGCCGUCUGUGUAGUGGGCAUGGACCCCCAGGCCUGCAGCUGGGGGUGAGUGGGGAGGGACAGGACAGAGGGCACAUGUGACUGCCCGGGGUCUCCCUGAGGCCCACAGUGAGCCCAGCUCCCACUGACACCCUGUAGAAUUACUAUUAUUGCCUUUGCUGUUGUUGUCAGGGCCAUUACUGAUUUCAGCAGCUUGGGGCUGGGGCGCUGGCAGUUGAGUGUGGGGAGAGGGAAGGAGCCAGGUGGGAGGCAGGAGGGGAGGGGGCUGGUGGCCGUGCUGGGACAGCGCUGCAGGCUGCUCGCCUCCAGCUGCCUGGAGAGGGCCCAGCCGUCAGGCCCAGGCCAGGGCCCCAGCUCUGACUUCCCUGCACUAGGGGGUCCCAGGGGAGCAGCGGAACCGCCCCACCGUGUUCAGGCCGGGACACAGACUGGCCAUCGGCCCCGCAUCGCCCUGGUGUGGAGGUCCUGGGUGGGCCCGGGCCCUGCCCUGUGAACUCACUGGUGGCUGUCACAUUAGGAAAGCCCCCAGCUCCUGCCACCGGCACCCUGGCUGCACUGGUCCCCGGUGCUUCCUGAGGCUCCCGUGCGUGUCUCCUCCUCGCGGCCACAUCCGGGGCCUCGCCAGACCUGAGCGGACUGCUCGCAGGGUUCACUUCCAUCCGGUUUCAGGCUGGUGCGUCUCAUGGGGUUAAAACCAUUUCCCCACAAGCAUUUGAACUUAUUAUUUUCUUAAGUCACGAGUGAAUCACAUCUGCCACAAGCACUUGGAUCAGCCCAGAGAGACUGACCACCCAGAAGUUUCUAUUCGCAAUCCCUAAACUUCAUGUGCAAAGAUAACCUUCACCAGGAAGAAAUCAGGACUCAGACGGACGUAAAGUGAAUUCGUGCAUAUGAACGUGUCAGCUCGUCUCCAGUGAGGGGACGGUCGGUGUCCCGGCCGGUUCACAAGAGCAGAGAAGAAAGCACAGAUGCACACGCGUGAAGGAAUAGGGACUCGGAUUCAAACACAGUGGGGGCUGGCUUCCCGGGGCGGGGGCGGGGGCUGACGGCCCCCGCGGGCAGGAUGAAUCUGCAGGUUCUAGUCCUUUCCUGGUGCUGCUGGAACCAAGUACACGGAUGGACAGAGCAGCUUAAAAUAAGAGACGGGAGCUCUCCCUGCCCUGAGACUGGGUGCCGGCUGGUGCCAUCGGAGGCACCGAGGGGGGCCUGCCUGCCUCUUCCCAGAGCCCCGUGCUGCCAGCCUCCAUCCCUCAAUCUCUGCCUCCACCUCCAUGGCUUUUCCUCUCUGUCGUGUGGCUCACAUCUCCUUUCCUCUCUCUUGUAAGAGCAUAAGUAACUGAACCUCAGGCCCACCCUAAAUCCAGAAUAAUUUCAUGCCGAGGUCCUUAAAUGAAUGACAUCUGCAAAGACUCUGAUUUCCAAAGGAGGUCACACCCGUGGGGAGGAGGGUGAGGGCGUGGACAUAUCCCCUUGGGGGCCACUCCUCAACCCGCUGUCUGUAAGCGAGAAACAGCCGUAUUGCUGUCAGUUACCAUAACGUGCAGAGCAACAAGUGCUCACAGGCAAUCAAGGCUAGGACCGGAAAGCCUAGGAGGCAGUGCAGGGAAGACACCCUGUCAUCUUUGAAUCCUUGCUGCUUACUCCGAAUUUCCGUGCACUGAGGUCUCAGAAAUCAUCUCCAGACUCUGCGUGACAGCCGGUCUUUUACCCUCACUGGCCUGAGAGCUGCAGGCACGGGGCGGGGGACCUGGUGCGCUGGGUAAUGACGGGGGUUCUGAGGUCUGUGGGACACCAAGGAGGUGUCCACAGCACCCACAGGCCUGAGUGUAGCGGCCAAGCGGAAUGAAGUUAACUAGAAAAGGACGUUUUGCCAGGAAAAGGCGGGAGCCUGCAAGCGGGCCACGUCAGAACAAAGUCUUGCAAGCAAGACUUAUUGUUUAGAGGCAGAACUUUCCUUGAGGUGAUAAAUAGUCCAUGAGGGCAUGGAAAGUUCAAGGGAGGGUGCACUGCUGCAGGUGGAAAUAAUCUUUGUAUAACAUCAGAAAUUAAUAGUUAAAUGUAUAACUUAGCUCAGAUGAUCUCAUAGGCAUGCCUGUUAAUCACUGUCACUUGCUGUACUCCACUGUUAUUUGCUGUACUCCCUGAAUAAAAGCCAGAGGGCUUCAGGGGGUCUUUGCUACUCGCCUGAGCGAGCGGUAGCCCUCUGCUUCUCCAUAUCCUGCA
Long non-coding RNA from Myotis lucifugus (little brown bat), 4486 nucleotides. RefSeq lists it as uncharacterized. The record is from RefSeq and is a predicted model, not a curated record. Lineage: Eukaryota; Metazoa; Chordata; Mammalia; Chiroptera; Vespertilionidae. The transcript is spliced from 2 exons.